CGGCCACAUGUAGUUGCAACACCGAUUCCUGUACGAUCACCGAAGUUAAGCAACGUUGAGUUUUCAGUACUUCGAUGUGUCACCGCUUGAGAAUACCAGGU
This is a non-coding RNA of Acanthosepion pharaonis, 101 nucleotides long. The record is from the annotation of a GenBank genome assembly. Lineage: Eukaryota; Metazoa; Mollusca; Cephalopoda; Sepiida; Sepiidae.